GGUCAAGCUACUAAGGGCGUACGGUGGAUGCCUAGGCGCUAAGAGUCGAAGAAGGGCGCGGUUAACAGCGAAAUGCCACGGGGAGUCGUAAGCAGGCUUCGAUCCGUGGAUACCCGAAUGGGGCAACCCAACCGGAGUCAUGUCCGGUUAUCUGCAGCUGAAUACAUAGGCUGCCGAAGACAACCCAGGGAACUGAAACAUCUAAGUACCUGGAGGAAGAGAAAGAAUAAUCGAUUCCCUGAGUAGCGGCGAGCGAAACGGGAAGAGCCCAAACCAAUCCCUUCGGGGAUUGGGGUUGUAGGACCCUCUAUUAGGAUUGGAACUUUAGCUGAGCAGAUCUGGAAAGGUCGGGCAAAGAAGGUAACACCCCUGUAAGCGAAAGAGAGACAAUCCGUGAGGGUAUCCUGAGUACCGCGGGACACGUGAAACCCCGUGGGAAUCUGGGAGGACCACCUCCCAAGGCUAAAUACUCCUUAGCGACCGAUAGCGAACAAGUACCGUGAGGGAAAGGUGAAAAGCACCUCGGAAGAGGAGUGAAAAAGAACCUGAAACCGUACGCUUACAAGCAGUCACAGUCCGCAAGGAUAGUGGCGUGCCUUUUGUAGAAUGAACCGGCGAGUUACGGUAUGCAGCGAGGUUAAGGCGAAAAGCCGGAGCCGAAGCGAAAGCGAGUCUGAAAAGGGCGUCCAGUUGCAUGCUGUAGACCCGAAACCGUGUGAUCUACCCAUGGCCAGGGUGAAGGUGGGGUAAAACCCAGUGGAGGCCCGAACUCACUGUCGUUGAAAAGGCAGGGGAUGAGCUGUGGGUAGGGGUGAAAUGCCAAUCGAACACGGAGAUAGCUGGUUCUCCCCGAA
RNAcentral lists this ribosomal RNA (854 nucleotides) under Puia sp. Its description in RNAcentral is "partial 23S ribosomal RNA". It matches the Rfam family "Bacterial large subunit ribosomal RNA", at positions 1 to 863 of the family's 2925-position model. Lineage: Bacteria; Pseudomonadati; Bacteroidota; Chitinophagia; Chitinophagales; Chitinophagaceae. The record is from RNAcentral.